Daldinia grandis is the source of this 79-nucleotide non-coding RNA. NCBI's taxonomy places the organism in Eukaryota, Fungi, Ascomycota, Sordariomycetes, Xylariales, Hypoxylaceae. The record is from the annotation of a GenBank genome assembly.
UCUCGAUUCGUCUAGUGGUUAGGAUACCUGCUUGUCAUCGAAACCGCAGGUGGCCGGGGUUCAAUUCCCCGAUCGGGAG